This 468-nucleotide ribosomal RNA is filed under the name uncultured bacterium. RNAcentral's name for it is "partial 16S ribosomal RNA". It matches the Rfam family "Bacterial small subunit ribosomal RNA", at positions 28 to 507 of the family's 1533-position model. The record is from RNAcentral.
GACGAACGCUGGCGGCGUGCUUAACACAUGCAAGUCGAACGGAAAGGCCCUGCUUUUGUGGGGUGCUCGAGUGGCGAACGGGUGAGUAACACGUGAGUAACCUGCCCUUGACUUUGGGAUAACUUCAGGAAACUGGGGCUAAUACCGGAUAGGAGCUCCUGCUGCAUGGUGGGGGUUGGAAAGUUUCGGCGGUUGGGGAUGGACUCGCGGCUUAUCAGCUUGUUGGGGGGGUAGUGGCUUACCAAGGCUUUGACGGGUAGCCGGCCUGAGAGGGUGACCGGCCACCUUGGGACCUAGGUACGGCCCAGGCCCCUACGGGAGGCAGCAGUGGGGAAAUAUGCACAAUGGGCGGAAGCCUGAUGCAGCAACGCCGCGUGCGGGAUGACGGCCUUCGGGUUGUAAACCGCUUUCGCCUGUGACGAAGCGUGAGUGACGGUAAUGGGUAAAGAAGCACCGGCUAACUACGUG